UUAAACUAGUAGAUUCAGAUUUAAAUAGUCUUCUCUUUGCAGAUGACAUAAUUUUACUCUUAGAAACUAAAGAUGGACUUCAAAAUAGUAUGAAUAAAUUAUCCCAAUACUGUGAUAAAUGGCACUUAACAGUAAACAUAAAGAAGACAAAAUACAUGUUAUUUCAGAAACAAAAACUGUAAAUUAGAAAAACCAAUUAUUAAAUAUAAAACUCAAAUGAUUGACAAUGUUUAAGAAUAUAAAUUUCUUGGGUCUGUUCUUAGAAGAAAUGGUAACCUUAACUAUAGCUUUAAUGAUCUAGCCAAGAAAGCUAGGAAGAUUAUAUUUUCUUUAUAUUCCUGAUUUUCAGCUAUUGGUAAUGUGCCAAUCAAAGUAGCAUUUAGCUUUUUGAUUCAUUAGUCAGACCCGUAUUAAAGUAUGUAUGAUGGACUCAUACCUACCAUUCAUAACAGCAAAAACUCGUGCAAACUAUAGUAACAAAAUUGUUGAUCCAUUUUCUUUUAUAGAUAGAUCACCUUUUGAAAAGGUUCAUUUAUCAUUCUGUAAAUAUAUAUUGGGUGUUAGAAAAUGCUCAACAAAUUUGGCAACUCAUCUUGAAGUUGGAAGGUUACCAAUAGAAAAUUUUAUUUAAGUCCAGUCUCUACUUUAUUUGGCUAGGCUACACACUAAAGAUACUAAUCCUCUUUUUAAAGAAUCAUUUGAAAUUUGUAAGAUGUUAGAUUCUUAAAAUGUGUACUCCUGGUAUACAUAUGCCAAAGAUAUUAUCCAUAAAGAGAUAGAGGAUCCCAAAAAGUUGUUUUCAUGUAAAACUAUAAAGGAAGUCAAAUCUCUAAAAAAAAAUGUUAUCAAAGGAGGAAUUUCAAAUAAAUAUAAAAGCCUCUAUAAAACUAAUAUUGAAAAUUUAUGUGAACAUAAUAAACUUUUUCUCUACAAAGAUCUCAAAACAGAUACUGAGACAGAAUUUUACUUGUUACAUUCAAACUUUGAAUUUCGUAAACUUAUUACGAUCCUAGUCUGUAACUUGAAUUAGGUAGACAUAAAAAAGUACCACGAAAUCUUAGAUAAUGUAAUUUUUGCCCUAUUAAAGAUAAUUGAUGAUAAAUUUCACUUCUUCUUUCAUUGCGUAAUAAAUAAAAAUUUAAGAAAUAAUUACUUCACUGAAAAUGCUUCUCAAAAUCCCAACUUUAUGAGUUGCACUAAUAAAAAAAGCUACAAUAUAUACUUAAUCCAUCAAAUUUUCAACAUGUACAAAGUUUAGGUUCCUUUUUAAAACAGUCAAUGGAACUGAGGUCAGGGGACUCUUAAUAUACCAGGGUUAAAAGUUUUGUGUUAUAUUAUUAUGUUGUAAUUGGUAUUUUGACUUGUCACUAUAUUUUAUACUUGCAACAAUUGAUAUAUAUAUAUACUAGUAUAUAUACAUAUGCAUGAGUGUAUGUUAGUUUUUUUUGUUUUAGUUUGUCACAAACAUGUUUCAUUUGUUUAUAUG
RNAcentral lists this long non-coding RNA (1486 nucleotides) under Mytilus galloprovincialis (Mediterranean mussel). The record is from RNAcentral. Lineage: Eukaryota; Metazoa; Mollusca; Bivalvia; Mytilida; Mytilidae.